Molecule: ribosomal RNA, 465 nt
Filed under: uncultured bacterium
Lineage: Bacteria
Description: partial 16S ribosomal RNA
Rfam family: Bacterial small subunit ribosomal RNA
Source: RNAcentral
GAUGAACGCUGGCGGCGUGCUUAACACAUGCAAGUCGAACGGAAAGGCUCCUGCUUGCAGGGGUACUCGAGUGGCGAACGGGUGAGUAACACGUGGGUGAUCUGUCCUGCACUUCGGGAUAAGCCUGGGAAACUGGGUCUAAUACCGGAUAGGACGAUGGUUUGGAUGCCAUUGUGGAAAGUUUUUCGGUGUGGGAUGAGCUCGCGGCCUAUCAGCUUGUUGGUGGGGUAAUGGCCUACCAAGGCGUCGACGGGUAGCCGGCCUGAGAGGGUGUACGGCCACAUUGGGACUGAGAUACGGCCCAGACUCCUACGGGAGGCAGCAGUGGGGAAUAUUGCACAAUGGGCGCAAGCCUGAUGCAGCGACGCCGCGUGGGGGAUGACGGCCUUCGGGUUGUAAACUCCUUUCGCUAGGGACGAAGCGCAAGUGACGGUACCUGGAGAAGAAGCACCGGCUAACUACGUG